RNAcentral lists this ribosomal RNA (588 nucleotides) under uncultured bacterium. Its description in RNAcentral is "partial 16S ribosomal RNA". It matches the Rfam family "Bacterial small subunit ribosomal RNA", at positions 355 to 1375 of the family's 1533-position model. The record is from RNAcentral.
UGGGGAAUUUUGGACAAUGGGCGAAAGCCUGAUCCAGCAAUGCCGCGUGUGUGAAGAAGGCCUUCGGGUUGUAAAGCACUUUUGUCCGGAAAGAAAUCCUUGGCUCUAAUACAGUCGGGGGAUGACGGUACCGGAAGAAUAAGCACCGGCUAACUACGUGCCAGCAGCCGCGGUAAUACGUAGGGUGCAAGCGUUAAUCGGAAUUACUGGGCGUAAAGCGUGCGCAGGCGGUUUGCUAAGACCGAUGUGAAAUCCCCGGGCUCAACCUGGGAACUGCAUUGGUGACUGGCAGGCUAGAGUAUGGCAGAGGGGGGUAGAAUUCCACGUGUAGCAGUGAAAUGCGUAGAGAUGUGGAGGAAUACCGAUGGCGAAGGCAGCCCCCUGGGCCAAUACUGACGCUCAUGCACGAAAGCGUGGGGAGCAAAGCAGGAUUAGAUACCCUGGUAGUCCACGCCCUAAAACGAUGUCAACUAGUUGUUGGGGGAUUCAUUUCCUUAGUAACGUAGCUAACGCGUGAAGUUGACCGCCUGGGGAGUACGGUCGCAAGAUUAAAACUCAAAGGAAUUGACGGGGUCAUAGCUGUUUCCU